GCUGGAGUGGGCCGAGCAGGCACUCGUCUCUCGUUUUUCUAAGUAGCCCUUUCCCCAUCUCGUAAUGGAUCUGCUGAGCAGUGGAAAAGAGCACCUCGACGGGCGCACUUUGUCCCCGGUCUAAGCUGUAGGCGCGGCUGCCGAGUGUGUCUGCGGCUCGUGUACAUACCCUGCUUUAAUAAUUACAUAUACGUCUAUAUAAACUCAUUAUUCAGGAGCGAGUGGAAGCGACGAGCAAAUUGGAGUAUUGGCAAAAGGGAUGCUUGCAGGUCUGGAUUCACACUCUCUUCCUAACUCGCCGCCCCUUUCCUCCUACUCUCCCCAAAUUGUAUUUAUCUGAGAUUAUGUCAAACUUCAGUGAUCGGAAAUGUCCAAAAGCCAUUCCCUCUGGAAAAAGUCAAAAGGGUUCCUGGCAUUAAAACGACCUUGCGUCAUUCCUGAUGAAAUUAGCAGCGCUGCAUGUUUAGAGUUGUGCUAUGGAUGCACUUUGGUCACAGUAAAAAGACAUUUGGGGUUUAAUCCCCUCAUCUGAACAGGAGUCGUCUGCUUUCCACUAGCUGCAAAUACUGAGACCGGCACUUGAAAGUACCUUAAACCUGCAGUUCAUUUUUCCCUUGUCUUUAAGUGUAAGUGAUGGGAAUUGCUAACCUCGGCUAAGAAAAUUUCAUUUCCCCCAUCCUGCUAAACGGUUAUGGUCGACAUAUGUUUGUUAUCGGAGAGAGGUGCUAUGAACACAGAGCCAUUUUCUUAGCAGCUCUUUGACUCUGUGUUACCAUAGUCCCAAACGGCAUUGGUCCUUUCCCGUUGGGAAGUCAUGAAUAAGAGACUAUGAAGCUUGCACGUCAGAUCUUCCUCAAUUAAUCCACCAUUAGCAUGUUUGGGAUCUUCUACUGGAUGGUUAACAGCAGCUUUGAUAACUGUAUGCUGUCCAUACCCAAUUAUGUUCUGCUAAAAACGAACUCUGCAGAACAACCUUCCUGAGCUGUCAGUGUCUCCCGUUUUCCUAUUUUAACGCUUGUGUGUAGUGGCAGGCGACAGAUGGUGUAGAUCAGAUCGAUUUGAUUGCAUUAGGCGAUUUUUUUUUUCCUCCUCUCCCCCCCGACUCCUUUUCUGGAAGCCCACAUUCAUCUGAGAGGCGAUCGCCGGGGACAUGGGAAGCAAGAGCAGCCGCCGAUGUGUGAAAGCAACGAGACAUGGCCAGCCAGAGGCGCCGGGGUCCCUUCCCGGGGUUUGUUAACAUGGUAAUCCGGCACCAGGAGAGAAAGCUGCUUUCUGAUGCUCAGAACCCAUUCCCCAUCACACAUCAGAUGACUCCCUGGUUUUACACACAGUUGGAGUUCUGCUGGAAACCUGGAUUUAAAGGGAAUCUGUUGCCUCGCGUGACAUCUUGCAAGCUCCCAGAGAGAAUUGAUGAAGCAUACAGCUAGGGAAUAGGAUGCCAAAGAAGCACAGAGGAAGAAACCAGGCAAUCACCAGGAUGGGAAGGUUCAGCGUCCAUUGGAUAUGGAACGAGAUCACUCUGCAACCCUUGUGGAUUCUCCUUCUUCUAAAGGGGAAUUAUAGUUGUGGAUUUAUUGUCCCGGUGCAGCACUUCGAACCAUCAUCAUCAGCAACAGCAGCAGCAGCUUUCUGACUCUCUUCGGUGACGGGUAUUCUUGGGUGGAUAAUACGGAUUACGUUGUUAUUGCUUAAGAAUACGCGUAGUCGAGGAGAGUACCGGCGGCGGGCAGGCAGGCAGGCAGCGCGACCGCCCCCAGCCCACCAGCUGGCUCCUAACGUCCUCUAGUUGCCAAGGUGAGCCUUGGACCCUGCCUACGGUCUAUGCCCCUGCACAUCAGCCCCACUGUGGCAGACGACAUCCAGAAUCCUGCAGUUCCUGGUUCCCGCACUGGGCAUUUGCUGCACACCAAGGGAAACCCACGUGCCAGUCACCUGACCCAGCUUGACUGCUGGUGGAGAUGAUGCUGGGGCUGACUUCACCCAGCUUGUUGCUGCCUGUCUGUCUUGUCUUAUUUGCCUGAGUUACGCCCCAGCCCACUCCCAUCCUGCUGUGCCACUACCUCGGGCCUGUGUGGAGUUUUCAAUUACGGCGACCUAGAAUGCAGAUGCUGCAUAAAACAGCUAGUGUGACUCCGGAAGAAAUAAAAAGCACUGCUAUGAUACCAGGAGGCUGAUUGAAACCACAGCAUAGCAAUGUCAUAACCUGUGGCUUUUAUCUCAGUAGAUAUAGAUUUUAGCCAUUAGAGCCUAGGAAUCCAACAGAUAACAAGCAGAGGAAAUGAUCUGUGCAUCCUCAGUUGUAACUGGUACAGUUUCACCAACAAAAGGAGGACCUGGUAAAUCACCAGAAGUAGAAAAAACCCAAACAUUUCAGAUAUAGUUCACAGGAUCACAGGAUGUUAGGGGUUGGAAGAGACCCAAAUUGAUCAUCGAGUCCAGCCUCCCUGCCAAAGCAGGACCAUACAAUCUAGCUCAGGUCACACAGGAACACAUCCAGACAGGCCCUGAAAGUCUACAGAGAAGGAGACUCCAUAACCUCUCUGAGCAGCAGGUUAUGCAGCAGUGUGAGUGCUCUGUGACCUUUAGAGUCAAGAAGUUCCCCCUUGUGUUGAGAUGGAACCUCCUCUGAUGCAGCUUCCAUCCAUUGCUUCUUGUCCUAUCCCAGGAAGCAAGUGAGCAGAGCCUGUCCCCUAUUCCUGGCCCUCAGAUAUUUAUAAAUAUUUAUUAAAUCCCCUCUCAAUCUUCUCCAGACUAAAAAUCCACAGGUUGCUGUCGUGGAGAGGAUUUCUCUAUUCCUCCCCUGUUAGGGGGAGGUGAGAAAUUAAUUUGAGGCAGUUUUGAUUUUUUAUAAAAUUAUUUAUUAAAAUUAAUAUUUACAAAUUUGUACCACCCCCAACCACUGUGAAAUCCGAUUUGUUUGCAAAGUUAUGAAAAUAGCUUUGGGAUAUAUUUACAGGGAUUGAUUAUUAAAUGAGAAUAUCAAAUUAUGAACAAUUAUAGACAGAGAAAAAGAUUUCUUAGGCUUAAUGCCUCUUAACAACUCUAGUGUUAGCCCAGUCGGGGCUGAAACUAUGUGUGCUCUUUAGAUAGAGAUAACUUAUAUUACAAAGGAAUUGAAGCUUACUUAGGUGUGCUGCUCUUGAGUAUCAAUCAUUAAUCACCCUCCCGGGAAUCUGUCUCAGCGUGUGCCCAGUACUUGGGGUCUUUGCAGCUGGAGUCUGUCCCAGCUUGCAGGGAUGAUAAGGGAUCCCAGUCUCUGGGUUAAGUAAAAUUUUCUCUAACCUUCUCUCCUGGUGUGGUCUCUGCCUUGGAGCUGCUGCUUCUGGAAGCCGUGUGUCCAGGGAUGGUCAGCUGGCAGGAAUUCCAGGUGCAGGAGAAGGAUUUGUCCAUGUAGCUUCUGACAAGGUCUCACAGCUGGCAAGCUGUGUUUGCAGGUUUGCAGACAGUCUGAGGGUCUGCUGGCUCUGGGUCUUUCCAGAGUUACAGGGUAGCUGGCAAGCAGUAUUUAUGCCGGGCAAGCAGGGUGUAUGCCGUGAUGCAUGGAAAAGAGCUCCGUAGACAAAUCAAGAUAGCUCUAGGCUUUGGCAGGGGGUUCUUGGCUCCCCAUAUAUAUAUGAAGUGCAGGCGUGCAUGCACUCUGCUUCUCAAAGGGCUUGCAGAUAGUUUGACUGCACCUUGAGAUCAAUACAUGAGGUCUGAGCCUCUGUAAUGCUUGCAAGUGAGUAAGGCCUGAUCCUGUGUCUAGGCCAUGCAAGUAGGUCAGGGCAGCAGGAUGCUGCUGCGGAUCAGAGCUGAGUCUAAAUGCUCUAAGCUUCUGAAUGGCUUGAACCUCUGAACGGUCUGACCAUCUGACCACGUGGUGCUGCUGUGCACCCCUCUUUAUGGACUCUGGGCGGAGAUUCGUGGCUCGUUGGACAUCUAAAAUGACCAAUCAGGUUGGCCGUAAGGCAAACCUUGCCCCAGUGGGCAGUAGAGACAUGCCUGGACCCUCCCAAUAGGGAUUACCUGCCCAGCCCUCAGGGGCACACGGGCUCUGUGUGUGUGUGUUACACAAUUUGUCUUCUGCCUCAUGGGUCCUGGCAGAAAAACAUGUCGGGGCAUGUAGAGGCAUGGUGAAGCCUCAGUUUUGAGGCUGCUGCCCCUCCACCACAGUCACUCAGCUCUCCUCAUAAGGAGAAUCACAGAAUGUUAAGCGUUGGAAGGCACCUCAAAAAAUCAUCCAGUCCAGCCCCAAUUAGGCAUGUAACACCUGAUGCCUUAGCAUCUAACUAUGUGUAACUUAAAAACAUUUCUUAAUUACUCACAAUACACUUAAACCUGUACAUGAAGAUAUCUCUGACCUCAGAGAACCAAUGUAUGGUUACAUUUGAAACCCUUAAUUCAGGCAAGGAAAUAAAUAGCAAGUGUAGGGCUUGACUCGUAUACGGGUACUAUGAUACCUGAAAUGACAGAAAAGGAAUAAAGGAAAAAAAAACUUAAUAUGAAGUGUGCCUGUUACUAACUUCUAGAAAAUCUCAGCAGCUAGAAUUUUAGGAUGUGGUCUGUAGACAAAGGUAAAGAGAGCAAACAUUUUAGUUUGGGGGUUUUCUUUCUAGAGCAAGGCAUAUAUAUCAAAUCAAAUCAAAUAAUAAGAUCAGUACUUUCUGGGCAAAUUUUAGUUGAGGAUCACAGAGUAAUUGAAAAUAUCUGUGCCUCAGCCUCAGAGCUAGCUAGAUAAUAAUGGUAAUUAUUACUAUAAAUAAAUAUUAGUAGUAUCAUUCUUGCUCCAACUAAAUUAAAAUUGAGACAUAGAGAAUUUAUGUCUUUGUCCAAAUUCUGUGUUUGACAUCCUUCUCUAAAACUAUUAUAGAUCAAGUUUGUUCUUUUCCAAAUACUGUAUGUGAUAUACUAUUCAGUUUAGGAGCUCUGAAAAAACAACCAGUUGAGCUUUCUUAUGAAACAGUGCCUGCGAACAUCUCCAUUUGUAUUUGAAUUCUGACGCAAUGACAGUCCUGCUUAAAAACAAACGAAACAACCACCAACAAAACAUAAAGGGAAAAAGGAAUCAGAAAAAUCAGUACAAAAUCUGUCAAGGCUCCAUCUGUGGCUGGGUAUCAGAAUAUCGCUGAGAAGCUCUGAAGAGCAAAGCUCAUUCCAAGUCUAACGCAUAGUGCUUUUUGGUUGAUGAAAUUAAUUCAAGCAGGGUGAAAUGAGGGCAUAUAACAUGAAAAGCACUGUUUCUGCACUGAAGAGUGAAGGAAAGCAGCAUCUCCGCUCUGCAUGUGUGGUCUUGGAUUUGGUACAUGUAGCCAUGCUUAGAUACUAAAGGUUUUACUUGGCAAAAUACUCAGCGUGUUCACGUCUCCUUUUGCUAGCCACAGAGACUUACUGCUUCUCAGAAAGCUGUCAGAGGAAUGAUUUCUGGUCCUGACAAGGUGAGGAAUUCGAUUAUGGAUGCUUGGUGCAAAAAGAGAGCUUUCAUAGGCAGUUACCUGAAGUGGUAUGGAAACAAAAUGAUGAUGGACUCCAUUCUGGCCUUGAAAAUACCCCUGAAAACAUGUCUGUUUCCUUCUGAGUGGUAAUAAAGAAAGGUUAGGGACACAGAAUCACAGAAAUUGCUGGUGUUGGAAGGGAUCUCAAGGAUCAUCCAGUUCCAACCCCCCUGCCAUGGGCAGGGAUACCUCAUACUAGAUCAGGUUGACCACAUCCACAUCCAGCCUGGCCUUAAAAACAACCAGGGAUGAGGCUUCCACCACCUUCCUGGGCAACCUAUGCUAGUGUCUCACCAACGUCAUAGUGAAGGACUUCUUCCUAAUGUCUAAUCUCAAUCUGCCCUCUGCUAGCUUGGAUCCAUCCCCCCAAUCCUAUCACUACCUGACAACCUAAAAAGUCCCUCCCCAGCUUUUUUGUAGGCCUGCUUCAGAUAUUGGAAGGCCACAAGAAGGUUGCCUAGGAGCCUCCUCUUCUCCAGACUGAACAACCCCAACUCUCAGCCUGUCCCCAUAGGAGAGCAGCUCCAGCCCUCUGAUCAUCCUCAUGGCCCUUCUCUGGACACAUUCCUUCUGUGAACACUUAUUUGUAGAAGAUAUUUUUAUAUCUUCUCUCCAGAGUCUGAAUUCUUAAGAGUCUGGGAGUAGUUUUCUGCUGUCACAGAUGGGAAAUGGGAGAAUCACAGAAUUAACCAUUGUAAUGCAUCACUUUUUUUUUUCCCCUUUUACAAACCGUUAGAGUAUGCAAACGCUCAGUUAACUGGUCCUUAUGUUUUCUCUUUAUUGAAUUGCUUUUACCAUGGCAAAUAAAUAUUCAUAAAGAAAUCUGGACAAUAAAUCAUUUCAAAUAGUUCAAAGUAAUUUUCUUUCUAGACUGUUUGUAUAUUCAGCUGUGACUCAUGCUUAAUAUUUUUUUCAAAAGAGAGACUUGUAGAAGGACAAUAGAGAUGAUGUGUCAAGUAGUCAUUAAAACAGGGGAUAAUGAUUAAAACUUUUUUGAUCUACACUGUGCUCUGUCAAAUUCUCGAUCUCCU
Long non-coding RNA from Pogoniulus pusillus (Red-fronted tinkerbird), 6502 nucleotides. RefSeq lists it as uncharacterized. The record is from RefSeq and is a predicted model, not a curated record. Lineage: Eukaryota; Metazoa; Chordata; Aves; Piciformes; Lybiidae. The transcript is spliced from 4 exons.